GCCCAGCUGGCUCAGCUGGUAGAGCAUGCAACUCUUGAUCUCAGGGUCGUGAGUUCAAAUCCCACGCUGGGUG
Molecule: non-coding RNA, 73 nt
Organism: Enhydra lutris kenyoni (northern sea otter)
Lineage: Eukaryota; Metazoa; Chordata; Mammalia; Carnivora; Mustelidae
Source: the annotation of a RefSeq genome assembly